GACGAACGCUGGCGGCGUGCUUAACACAUGCAAGUCGAACGGUAAGGCCCUUCGGGGUACACGAGUAGCGAACGGGUGAGUAACACGUGGGUGAUCUACCCUGCACUUCGGGAUAAGCCUGGGAAACUGGGUCUAAUACCGGAUAGGACCACUGCCUGCAUGGGUGGUGGUGGAAAGCUUUUGCGGUGUGGGAUGGGCCCGCGGCCUAUCAGCUUGUUGGUGGGGUGAUGGCCUACCAAGGCGACGACGGGUAGCCGGCCUGAGAGGGUGACCGGCCACACUGGGACGGAGAUACGGCCCAGACUCCUACGGGAGGCAGCAGUGGGGAAUAUUGCACAAUGGGCGCAAGCCUGAUGCAGCGACGCCGCGUGAGGGAUGACGGCCUUCGGGUUGUAAACCUCUUUCAGCACCGACGAAGCGCAAGUGACGGUAGGUGCAGAAGAAGGACCGGCCAACUACGUGCCAGCAGCCGCCGUAA
RNAcentral lists this ribosomal RNA (478 nucleotides) under uncultured bacterium. Its description in RNAcentral is "partial 16S ribosomal RNA". It matches the Rfam family "Bacterial small subunit ribosomal RNA", at positions 28 to 523 of the family's 1533-position model. The record is from RNAcentral.